RNAcentral lists this long non-coding RNA (856 nucleotides) under Homo sapiens (human). RNAcentral describes it as "HSALNT0269823". The record is from RNAcentral. Lineage: Eukaryota; Metazoa; Chordata; Mammalia; Primates; Hominidae.
GGGAAGUAAAGCACCAGAGGAAGCAUGUGUAAAUCCUUGUAUAAUCGCAGGCUUUUGUAAAUAGAAGACUUGUUGAUGAUCCGAUGGCAAGGUAUUUUUCUCUUGGUAUGUAUUUUAGUUAUUUCCUCGUGAUGCAUAAGUGAAAAGAGUGAAGUUUCUCAGAAUGAGCAACUGUCAUCCAUCUACCUGCUAUUUUAUUAUUGCUGAUUACAAAAGCAAAUCAAGAGAUGAGAACCCAGUUGCCUGCAAGUAAAUAUUUACUGCAUUGAGGGUCGGAGCAUUUUCCCAUUACCGGUUAUCCAUGGAUCAAAUAGUGUAUCUCAGUGGUAAUUCUAGAGGGCCAUUAAAACCCUGAUGGUGCUGGAAGAGAUGGCAGUGCUGCAUGUCAGAAAUAGGUAAACUGUAAUUAAGAAGUUACAGAUGAUUUGAUUACGCUCUUGUGUAUUUGGUCCUGUUAUAAUGUGAGCAGAUUAAAAUCAUGUAGUGCUUAAAGCUAUGUCAUUAUGCAAACAUUUAUGGCAACUUCUGCAAAUUAAUUUGAACUGUAAAAGUUCCCUAAUGAGACGAUGUCCUCCAUAACUGAGAAGGACACUGCAGCCAUUGCUGCUUAAUUCCUGCAUUUGAAUGGUUGCCGAGCGCAUGGUGUGCCCUUUCUCAAAGAGCAGAGAGGCUGCAGAGCAUUUUGGGGGGUGAUGACUGAAUGAAAGUGAAAAGACCAUUUCAAAAUAGCCUUUAAAAGGAAAGCCAAGGAUGAUUAUUAAUGAAUUCCUGGGAUCUAACAGUAGUAAGAAAUUUAAACUAUAUAAACAUAUAUGUUAAAGGCUAGCUCUUCAGAAAUAAAGAUCAGAAGACUGCA